This 1931-nucleotide ribosomal RNA is filed under the name Calybe laetula. RNAcentral's name for it is "SSU rRNA". It matches the Rfam family "Eukaryotic small subunit ribosomal RNA". Lineage: Eukaryota; Metazoa; Arthropoda; Insecta; Coleoptera; Carabidae. The record is from RNAcentral.
AUCAUAUGCUUGUCUCAAAGAUUAAGCCAUGCAUGUCUAAGUACAAACUAUAUUAAAGUGAAACCGCGAAAGGCUCAUUAAAUCAGUUAUGGUUCCUUAGAUCGUACCACAAUUACUUGGAUAACUGUGGUAAUUCUAGAGCUAAUACAUGCAAACAGAGCUCUGACCGGAGACGGAAGGAGUGCUUUUAUUAGAUCAAAACCAAUCGGCAGCGAUAGCAUUUCGGUGUUAUCGUUUGUCGCUCAAUAAAUGGUGAAUCUGAAUAACUUUAUGCUGAUCGCAUGGUCUUGUACCGGCGACGCAUCUUUCAAAUGUCUGCCUUAUCAACUGUCGAUGGUAGGAUCUGCGCCUACCAUGGUUGUAACGGGUAACGGGGAAUCAGGGUUCGAUUCCGGAGAGGGAGCCUGAGAAACGGCUACCACAUCCAAGGAAGGCAGCAGGCGCGCAAAUUACCCACUCCCGGCACGGGGAGGUAGUGACGAAAAAUAACGAUACGGGACUCAUCCGAGGCCCCGUAAUCGGAAUGAGUACACUUUAAAUCCUUUAACGAGGACCAAUUGGAGGGCAAGUCUGGUGCCAGCAGCCGCGGUAAUUCCAGCUCCAAUAGCGUAUAUUAAAGUUGUUGCGGUUAAAAAGCUCGUAGUUGAAUUUGUGUCUCGCACUGUCGGUUCACCGCCCGCGGUGCUAACUGGCAUGUUUUGUGAGACGUCCUGCCGGUGGAUGUAAGUAAUAAAAUUUCGAUUUUAUUACACAUCCGACUUAUAAAUCCUGUCGCGGUGCUCUUAAUUGAGUGUCGAGGCGGGCCGGCACGUUUACUUUGAACAAAUUAGAGUGCUCAAAGCAGGCUAAUUAAUGCCUGAAUAAUUAGUGCAUGGAAUAAUGGAACAGGACCUUGGUUCUAUUUUGUUGGUUUACGGAACCCCAAGGUAAUGAUUAAUAGGGACAGAUGGGGGCAUUCGUAUUGCGACGUUAGAGGUGAAAUUCUUGGAUCGUCGCAAGACGGACUAAAGCGAAAGCAUUUGCCAAAGAUGUUUUCAUUAAUCAAGAACGAAAGUCAGAGGUUCGAAGGCGAUCAGAUACCGCCCUAGUUCUGACCAUAAACGAUGCCAGCUAGCGAUCCGCCAAAGUUCCUCCGAUGACUUGGCGGGCAGCUUCCGGGAAACCAAAGCUUUUGGGUUCCGGGGGAAGUAUGGUUGCAAAGCUGAAACUUAAAGGAAUUGACGGAAGGGCACCACCAGGAGUGGAGCCUGCGGCUUAAUUUGACUCAACACGGGAAACCUCACCAGGCCCAGACACUGGAAGGAUUGACAGAUUGAGAGCUCUUUCUUGAUUCAGUGGGUGGUGGUGCAUGGCCUUUCUUAGUUGGUGGAGCGAUUUGUCUGGUUAAUUCCGAUAACGAACGAGAUCUAGCCUACUAAAUAGACGUUACACUUACCAGUAUCUCGAAGGCUCACAUCUCUCGUUUCUUUACUGCAUAUCACUAGCAUUUCGGUGUUUAGUUGGUUUGUGGUGGGCGGGAGUUUGUGGUUUUUACUACUGGCGUACAUAUAAAUCUUCUUAGAGGGACAGGCGGCUUCUAGCCGCACGAGAUUGAGCAAUAACAGGUCUGUGAUGCCCUUAGAUGUUCUGGGCCGCACGCGCGCUACACUGAAGGAAUCAGCGUGUCUUCCCUGACCGAAAGGUCCGGGUAACCCGCUGAACCUCCUUCGUGCUAGGGAUUGGGGCUUGCAAUUAUUCCCCAUGAACGAGGAAUUCCCAGUAAGCGCGAGUCAUAAGCUCGCGUUGAUUACGUCCCUGCCCUUUGUACACACCGCCCGUCGCUACUACCGAUUGAAUGAUUUAGUGAGGUCUUCGGACUGGUACGCGGCAAUGUUUUUACAUUACCGAUGUCGCUGGGAAGAUGACCAAACUUGAUUAUUUAGAGGAAGUAA